ACCCCCCAGAUUCCAUCCCCAUCAGACCUAAACACUGGUCCGAGUGGUUCUAGAAGGAGGAAAUAUAACAUUGAAACUGACUUAAAUUCUUUUGCGACACACAGGCUAGUUUCAAGUCCCA
RNAcentral lists this small nucleolar RNA (121 nucleotides) under Echinops telfairi (small Madagascar hedgehog). RNAcentral's name for it is "Small nucleolar RNA SNORA61 (ENSETEG00000024283.1)". The record is from RNAcentral. Lineage: Eukaryota; Metazoa; Chordata; Mammalia; Afrosoricida; Tenrecidae.